Long non-coding RNA from Gallus gallus (chicken), 3048 nucleotides. RefSeq lists it as uncharacterized. The record is from RefSeq and is a predicted model, not a curated record. NCBI's taxonomy places the organism in Eukaryota, Metazoa, Chordata, Aves, Galliformes, Phasianidae. The transcript is spliced from 3 exons.
AGUUUUCUGUAAACCCUAUCCCAUUAAACCAUUGUUAUUUUAACCAGAGAGCUAUUUAGGUGCUCUCUGUUUGUAUGUAUUUGUGAGGAAGGAGGAGACUGAAGCUGUGACCGACCUAGUAUGACUUUGUGCCUCUUUGUAGACUGUUUUUUCUCAUUUCGACAUCUGGGCUUUUCUUUCUCAAUGGAGAUUCCUGAAGACAGCUAAGACAUGAGCUUCCUUGCCACUGGCUGCCUGCAAGGUGGUUGGCACUGGGGUACUCAGACUGUAGUUCUAAACAAAGUGAUAUAAAAACUUUUUUUCCCAACCUGAAUUAUGCAAGGAGAAGAACAAGUAGUCCUUUCCAUCAGUGGAAACACAGCUGAAGGGAACGUAGGGCAGAGAGAAAAUGGACAGUACUCUGAAGGUGUACGCAGACUAGAGGAAUGUCUUCUACUAAUACUGCAUCUAUAUAAAAUGGCUGGAACAUACAGAGCAGAAGAGAGCUAACUGUCCCUUUGAUGCUGUAAAUGAUGACAGUGAAGAAAUCAGAGUGGGUAUAGCUGUGAACAUGGGCCAUAAAAGGCUGCAGCCACUGCCGGGAGCUUACUUUAGAAACUCACAGGGCAGAUCUCCAAGAUCACAGUGUCUGCCAGGCAGAAGAUGGUGAAAGCAUGAAACAGCCACAACCUUCUUCCAUGAGGGCAUGAGGCAAGAUGGUUAGAGACCGCAGAUGGCAAGUACAUAUCCUAAAGUUAGCGUGGUGGGUCAGAACAUACAAAAAAAUCUGUAGAGGAUAAGUUUUUUAUGUUUCAUACAGAGGAUAGCAAUAGAAAUCACCUGAUUUCCUUAGGUGGGUAACUUUUAGGGGUGAUCGGGGCUUUUCUAGGUAAUAUGACGUAAGUUGAAUCUGCCUUCUCUGCCUUAGUGAAUAAAAAUGUCUGAUUACAAAUGUGAGCCCAGUAUGUAAAGCUCUGAUACAUUAUUGUAAACUAUUCUGCAAAAAAGCAUGCUUCUGCAAUGACCCCAUUAGAUUUACUUGAGACCACUUCUGGGAGUAAAUUUAAACAUAUGUGUACAUAUCUGUGCAAUCAGGGUCUAUACAUAAGAUGGCUGGUGAAGCACAAUAUAGCUAUGGGCACUGAUGUAUGAAUGCAAAUUUUCUUUGCUAAUGAAUAAUUCUCCUGAUAAAAGAGAAAGAUAAGGGUCACUUAGUAAGCAUACCUGCACCUUUUUUUCAUGAGUUGUUCUGCAUUCUGUUAUACCUAGUACUAAUUUUUCUCUGUACUGCCUGAAAACAGAGCAAUUAAUUUAUGGUGAUUUCAAUUACCAUUUCCCUCACUGACUAGACUUAAAACACAGUAUCAGGUCAGUACAUAGUAGGGAAACUGCAAUUUUCUUUGGGCCUCUGUGGUAUUCAGACAGCUGGUGUAGGUUCAUUAGGAAAAUUAGAAAGAAAAAAAACGCACAAACAGAAAACAAAUGGAAUGUGUGGCAAUAUGAAGGCACACAAUAUUUCUCCUUCCUUUUUUUGGGUGAGAUAGCUGCCCUCCAUUUUCCAGUCUGCUAACUCUUUCAAUUCCAUUGCAGCAACUGCAAUAUUCUAAGUUUUAACAAUAGCUGCUGAAAUAGUAUAGCAUAAAAUCACUAGCAAAGAUCAGGACUACAAAACCUCUAAAAGAUUCUCCAGAAUGUAAACACCUUGUCAGAAUGUCAAAGUGUAUGCCCCUCAGCAUCAGCUGCUUACCUGAUAAUAUAUUUCAGCUUUGAGGAGAUAAAGGUGAUCCUCUUGAAAUAAAAUAAAUUGUAUAAUUCACUGACAUUACUACAUAUCCCCAAAGAGGUAAAAAGCUCUGAAAAAAAGAGAACAGUUAUAAGGACAUUCAUGGUCCUCACACUGAGAAUGCAUUUAUUGUGACAGACCAGUAGUCAUUUGUAUUGAGGACACAGCAAAGAGCAUCUGCCUGGCUGUGGAGACACCUGACAUAACCAGGACAUCCAAAGAAGUUUGCUGCAUGGCAGCACUUUAGACAUCUCCAGGAGAGAGAGCGGCAUUCAUUUGAAGCAGGCGGUAAGCGAGAGAUGUGUUCAUCUUCAUCAUGGCCCACUGGACAAGGCCCAGUGUGUGAACUCAGAAACAGACCUGACAAGUCCUUGCACAGGUAAAGCAGGAAGGAAUGCAAGCAUUUUUAUGUCCUUUCUGACCUUUUCAUACAUUUUUACAGACACAGACCUGGGCUGAAGAACUCUAUGUGACUGACUACAAAGCAUACACAGCAAACCCCACACAAUUAUGAGUUUGAUCUCGAGAUGAAAUUGGAGGAGCUAGGAUCUGUGUGUGUAUAUAUCUUUGCGCACAGUGGGGACUUCAUCUCUGUAUGUUAUGGGAGAGCUGGCCCUAAAACUGGUAAAAAUUUCACUGAGGCUCAAACAUAACAAAGCCAAAUCAGACCAUUAUUUAUUGUUUGCAAGAAUGGCUGUGGUAUUAAGAUGUCAAAUUCAGUGAAAUUUAAAAAGUUACAAAGUAAUGAGUUUAAAGCACUCUUUUUAAAAAGGAUUAAAGACGUUCCAAAGCAAAGCCUGCAGUCCCCCAUCUCUUGUAAUGGAAUGGCAGCAAGACUAGCCACCCUUAACCUUCCUCUCAUUCACUAAGUCUCACGCUGUGGCUAUAGACAAUUGCUCCAAGGCUGAAUUUAUGUCAGAUAAGUUCUGAGCCCAUUAAUGAUUCGGGCUUUGAUUUGUGAAAUAGAGGUGCCCCUGGGAUCUUUAAUCUAUCUGUAAAAAGCUUUUUGUAAGUUUUCUGAAAUGUCAUGUAGGAAAUCCAUGUACAGAGGGACCAGAUUAUGACCCAAUUACCAGCUGUGCUAAUCCAGAGUGAUUUCACUAAGUUCAGUGGAGAUGAUGAAGAUUUAAAAGAAUGUCAGCUUGGAUCAGAACUUAGCUUCUUGUCUCCUGUUCUAGCUUGAGAUCUAAAUAUUCCAGUUGAAAUUUUAAUUAUAUGUUCUUUGUUAUUGUUGUUGUUGUUGCAUAUGCAAGGCACUAGAAAAAUAAAUCUUUCCUUGUUUUAUA